UUUUUUUUUUUUUUUUUUUGUAGCAUCAUCUAUCUGGAUAAGAUGUUGAGACCACAGCCUAACACCAACUUCACCUAAUUUGAACCUCAACCUGAUAUUCUCUUUGCAUAACUUGUGAAGCAACAUAACCUAGAGAACUGAUUCUCAGAUUGAUUUGUUUUGUUAGUGAAUAAGCAUGGAAAUGAUAAAUUCAUUUAUAAACCUGAUCUGAAUACACAUCAUAGAAAAAAUUAGAUAAGAUGGAAAUUGCAAUUUUAUAAUGCAUGCAUGAUAUUAGAUGUUUCUCUUGAUAUCAGUAUUAAAUAACCAAGCUUAGGAUAUGUAUAGUCAGACCGCAUUGCAAUAUAUAAUGCUCAGUUAUUAAGUCUCUCAUGAAAAUUAUAGAUCUAAUCACAUAGCAACUUUAGAAAUUAGCUCCUCAGCUCUGAAUCAUAAAUGCAUUUCAAUAAUUUUUUUCUCCUCCAGUUUUUUAGACUUUCUCCACUGGAUUAAUAGCUUCCAAUGAGUAAAAUAUUCCCCUCCCUCCAUUUAUGCAGUCGACGGGUACAGGCUGGGUAUAACCACCACUUCUUGCAUUCUAAAUUUCUAAUAUGCUGGCAACAAAAAAAAAAAAGUACAGUAAUUUUCAAAGCUUAUUUGCAACUAAGAUUUAUUUUGUUGAUCUCAUAAAUGUGUUUAUAGAACCGUUAAUAAUUAUAACUAAAGCAGAAUUUUUCUACUCUUUUUACAUCCUUUAGUUAUUUCAACACAAAAAAUUCAGUCUGAAACAUCAAGGAAAUAACUGAAUACACCAUAGAUGCACGUGAAUCCAAGCAAACAUGCCAAUGAGGGAAUGGAAAUACAUCACAUUCAUGGAAAAUAAGCAGAAAUUCUGUCUCUUCAGAUCAUCUAACAUACCAUCACUUGCAGCUCCAAAAUCA
RNAcentral lists this unclassified non-coding RNA (920 nucleotides) under Hevea brasiliensis (rubber tree). The record is from RNAcentral. Lineage: Eukaryota; Viridiplantae; Streptophyta; Magnoliopsida; Malpighiales; Euphorbiaceae.